RNAcentral lists this ribosomal RNA (443 nucleotides) under Candidatus Omnitrophota bacterium. RNAcentral's name for it is "bacterial SSU rRNA". It matches the Rfam family "Bacterial small subunit ribosomal RNA", at positions 1 to 396 of the family's 1533-position model. The record is from RNAcentral. Lineage: Bacteria; Pseudomonadati; Candidatus Omnitrophota.
CCUUUGGAGGGUUUGAUCCUGGCUCAGAGUGAACGCUGGCGGCGUGGAUUAGGCAUGCAAGUCGAGCGAUCGAUUUUAUGAAGCAAAUGAAUUCUUCGGAAGGAUUUUGUGAAUUAAUUUUGAUAGCGGCAAACGGGUGAGUAACACGUGGGUGAUCUGCCCUAGAGAGGAGGAUAGCUUCGAGAAAUCGGAGGUAAUACUCCAUACAGUCCUGCUAUUAAUUUAGCAGGAUGAAAGAUGGCUUAGGACUUCGGUCCGCUGUCACUUUAGGAGGAGCCCGCGGCCUAUCAGGUAGUUGGUAGAAUAAGAGCCUACCAAGCCAAAGACGGGUAGCUGGCAUUAGCGUGUGGUCAGCCACAUCGGGACUGAGACACUGCCCGGACUCCUACGGGAGGCUGCAGUCGAGAAUCUUUCCCAAUGGGCGAAAGCCUGAGGAUGCGACG